RNAcentral lists this ribosomal RNA (371 nucleotides) under uncultured bacterium. RNAcentral's name for it is "bacterial SSU rRNA". It matches the Rfam family "Bacterial small subunit ribosomal RNA", at positions 29 to 381 of the family's 1533-position model. The record is from RNAcentral.
AACGAACGCUGGCGGCGUGCCUAACACAUGCAAGUCGGGGGAGAAAGGGAGCUUCGGCUCCCGAGUAAACCGGCGCACGGGUGAGUAAUACGUAGGUAACGUGCCCACGAGCCCGGGAUAACCAGUCGAAAGAUUGGCUAAUACCGGAUACGACCGAGAGGGCUUCGGCUCUCACGGUGAAAGAUGGCCUCUGCUUGCAAGCUAUCACUCAUGGAGCGGCCUGCGCACCAUUAGCUAGUUGGUGAGGUAACGGCUCACCAAGGCCGAGAUGGUUAGCUGGUCUGAGAGGAUGGCCAGCCACACUGGGACUGAGACACGGCCCAGACUCCUACGGGAGGCAGCAGUGGGGAAUAUUGCGCAAUGGGCGAAAG